RNAcentral lists this ribosomal RNA (247 nucleotides) under uncultured bacterium. RNAcentral describes it as "partial 16S ribosomal RNA". It matches the Rfam family "Bacterial small subunit ribosomal RNA", at positions 15 to 228 of the family's 1533-position model. The record is from RNAcentral.
GAUCCUGGCUCAGGAUAAACGCUGGCGUCGCACAUAAGACAUGCAAGUCGAACGGAAGUCGUUAUAAAAGGAGAGAAGAUUUAUCGGAUUGAAUUUUAUAACAAUGGCUUUAGUGGCGGACUGGUGAGUAACGCGUAAGGAACCUACCUAUUAGAGGGGAACAACAAUGAGAAAUCAUUGCUAAUACCGCAUAUGCCAUAACUACCGCAUGGUAGAAGUGGGAAAGGAGUAAUUCGCUGAUAGAUGG